CAAGUCGAACGAGAAUAAAGGGGUAACUUUUUAUUCUAGUGGCGGACGGGUGAGUAACGCGUAGGUAUCUGCCCUGAAGAGGGGGACAACCCGAGGAAACUCGGGCUAAUACCGCAUAAUCUCUACGGAGAAAAGCUGGGGACCGCAAGGCCUGGCGCUUUAGGAGGAGCCUGCGUCCGAUUAGCUAGUUGGUAGAGUAAAAGCCUACCAAGGCGACGAUCGGUAGCUGGUCUGAGAGGAUGAUCAGCCACACUGGGACUGAGACACGGCCCAGACUCCUACGGGAGGCAGCAGUGGGGAAUAUUGGACAAUGGGGGAAACCCUGAUCCAGCAAUACCGCGUGUGUGAAGAAGGCCUUAGGGUUGUAAAGCACUUUAGGUGGGGAGGAAAAUCUCAUGUUAAGUAGGUGUGAGAUGUGACGUUAUCCACAGAAUAAGCACCGGCUAACUCUGUGCCGGCAGCCGCGGUAAUACAGAGGGUGCAAGCGUUAAUCGGAAUUACUGGGCGUAAAGGGCGCGUAGGUGGUUUAGCAAGUUGUUUGUGAAAGCCCUGGGCUUAACCUAGGAAUUGCAAGCAAGACUGCUAGACUUGAGUACAGUAGAGGGAAGUGGAAUUUCCGGUGUAGCGGUGAAAUGCGUAGAUAUCGGAAGGAACAUCAGUGGCGAAGGCGGCUUCCUGGAUUGAUACUGACACUGAGGCGCGAAAGCGUGGGGAGCAAACAGGAUUAGAUACCCUGGUAGUCCACGCUGUAAACGAUGAGAACUAGAUGUUAGGCAGCUUAGACUGUUUAGUAUCGAAGCUAACGCGAUAAGUUCUCCGCCUGGGGAGUACGGCCGCA
This 838-nucleotide ribosomal RNA is filed under the name uncultured Gammaproteobacteria bacterium. RNAcentral describes it as "bacterial SSU rRNA". It matches the Rfam family "Bacterial small subunit ribosomal RNA", at positions 58 to 890 of the family's 1533-position model. The record is from RNAcentral. Lineage: Bacteria; Pseudomonadati; Pseudomonadota; Gammaproteobacteria.